AAAAAAUAAACUUCCCAUGCCGGGAAUCGAACCGGGCCGCGUGGGUGAAAACCACGAAUCCUAACCACUAGACCACAUGGGAGGACGAGAAAACUCGUUUUCCGGCUCAACAGGAGGGUCAACAUGGGACAAUGAAAUGUAUCACUUU
This is a non-coding RNA of Caenorhabditis elegans, 148 nucleotides long. The record is from Ensembl. NCBI's taxonomy places the organism in Eukaryota, Metazoa, Nematoda, Chromadorea, Rhabditida, Rhabditidae.